This is a long non-coding RNA of Gallus gallus (chicken), 4612 nucleotides long. RefSeq lists it as uncharacterized. The transcript has 2 exons. The record is from RefSeq and is a predicted model, not a curated record. NCBI's taxonomy places the organism in Eukaryota, Metazoa, Chordata, Aves, Galliformes, Phasianidae.
CUGGCAAGCAUAAAUCAUGAACCAUGUGAAUUGUUCCUGCAGGAGUGGAAAACCGGGGUCUUGGUAGUAUAUGAUACUGUGCUGGGAUGGGAUUAAUUUUUUGAAGCAAUCUGUAAGUUUCACCAGGAGAGCCUCAGGUUGGAUAUUAGGAAAAACUUCUUCUCAGAAAGAGUAGUGAUGCAUUGGCACAGGCUGCCCAGGGAGGUGGUGGACUCACUGUGCCUGGGGCUGGUUGAGAAGGGUGGAGAUGUGGCACUGAGAGAUGUGGUCAGUGGGCACGGUGGGGAUGGGUUGGGGUUGGACUAUGUGAUCUCAGCAGCCUUUUCCAGCCUUAACCAUUCAGUGAUACAGUGCUGUGCUUUACAUUUGUGACCUGAAUGAUGCUGAUAACACAGCAGUGUUUCAGAUUUUACUGAUCAGGGUUUGCACAAUGUUAAGCUUUCUCUGUUUCUCACUCUGCCCCCGCUGCAAGGAGCUGGGGGUAUAGGAGAAGCUGGGAGGGGACACAGCUGUGACUGUCAGCAGCCUUUCCAGAGAAGCUAUUGCUUGGAGACUGGCUGAGCAUUGGUUUGCUUGGGAAAGGUACAAGUGAAUGUCUUUGUAUGACUUGGUGGGAAUGGACAAAUCAAACCGUAUUUGAAAUUUCCAUGUUUCUUCAUGCUGAGAUUGUGAUGUUUGGCUGUAUAGUGAAUAGGGGCUAUUACCAAAGAAAAAGGUUUCCUUACCCAUUUUUCCCAAGGUCCAGUGCAACUUGUUACGGUUAGGAAGAUCUGUAAGGACACACAGCCCUCUUCAGUUAUGACAAACAGUGAUGGGGUUUGCUCAGUUAACCAGCAGGACGUGGCAUCUCUGAUUCUGUUCUUUGGCAAUUUAAUCUCAUUCCUAACUCUACAGCCCCGCCGUGUGGAGGCCAUUAGCAGGUAAGAGAUGAAUACUGAACAAAUAGGGAUUAAUCCUUUAUUUUUUUGAUUGGAUUUUCAGAGGAUUAGCUGUGUUCUAAAUAGUUAGAACCUUUUUUCCUUUGAGAGGAAUUCAACCCUAUUUGGCCAGGCUGAUGUGAAGCCAUUUUGUGAAAAGAGGUGGAAGGCAGCACACGACAUCAGAAUGCCAUUGCUGAUCGUGUGGUGUUACAAUUCCAAUUCUAAUUAAAAUUAGCCUUUUCCUACCUAUCAUCUACCUCUUUUUUAAUAGUAGUAAUUUUAAUUAGAAUUGUAACACCACAGCAUUAGCAAUGGCAGUGGAACAAAGGUGAGAGUGCGCCCAGUGGGCUGCUUUCACUACCAUGUUAGGUUAAAAUCAAGAAUAGAAGUAGUAAGAUUCAGCCAGUUUCUAUACUGGGAGAAUAAAAUGAAGUUUUAAAGAUGGAAAAAGGAAAAACUAUCUCACAAAAUCCUUGCUACCACAGAUGAAUUAUUUACUAUAUGUACAAAUCUUUUUUGGUACAAAAACACAGAUUAGGUUUAAAAUAUUACUUUUGUUUCUCUCUUUAUCAUUUCUUACCCUUCUUCCUCUGGAUCAAUACAUUUAAGGCACUGAACCAAAAGAACCAAAGGGUAAUGGUUUUAAUUAAAUAUAAACAUAACUACACUAGAGAAACACUGUUGCAUUCAGAUGGGAAAUUUACAUUAAACUGAGCUGGCAGACAUCACAAGCCUGAAUUCAUUGGGCACACUGUAUAUAUUAAUCUGUUCUUAGCAGUGUGACUGUUUCUCAUUUGGAAGAAUUAAUGAGAUGCAGAUGGACAGAUGUGCAUGGAGACAACGUUAUAAGCAGCAAGAAAGAGCUGGAACCUGCAGAGCAGAAUUUCAUUAUUGAAUUGGUUGGAUUAGACGACCUCAGUGGUCUUUUCCAACCUCAAUGAUUUCUGUGAUUCUAUCCAGCAUACAUAAACUAUGGAUCACAGAAACGGUAUAACUGUGGAUGUUUAUUCCUUUCCGGAGUGCUCUCCCAUAACAGCAGCAAAGCAGUGGAAAUGUAACAGACAACAGAAAUGACAUUCCCAAGGCAGCACUGAAGGAGGAUACCUGAUGGAAGUGCUGCUCUAUCUCAGCUCGACCGCCUGCCCGGCUCAGUGCCUCGCAAUGCCUGACACUCAGAGAAUGCCUCGGAAGAUCCAGGUGGAAGUGCAGUAUGCUGAAGUGAGGAAAUCCACACCCCAGCUCAAUUAUUGGAUUGAUUGUUUUUCUCCUAAGGUCCCACUGGCAAAAAUUACAUCCACGCUGGAAGUGGUGGCAAAACUGCCACUGAGCAACCCAUACCAGCUCCUGUCUGAACAUCUGCUGCCAGAGGCCCCUUACGUGUCUGUUUGUUUCCUAUGUUUUAAAGGUGGAUAUGUCAGAGAUAUGUAAGAAAGUUAACCUUCUAUUUCCUUUUUUUUUAAUAUCCUCAAACUGUACAAGUAGAAGGUAAGGCAAAAAUAAUGUAUUGCAAUUUAAAACUAUUUAUACUACUUGAAGUUAGUGUUUGAGUUGAGCUCAGGAUUCUGUUGUUGUUUCCUUUCCCAAGUCCACCAGCUGCCAAGUGAUGCACUUAGAUGUAGGUCCUCCAAAAGUGAUGUCUCCUAUUUAUUUCCAUGGAAACCACUGCGGAUACAAAGAGCUCCAUAACACUGUUUGGUAGAGCAAAUUCUCAGCUACAGGUUUAAUGUGAGAACCCACAGUUUGUGUUCACAGCCUGGGAAGGUUAUCCGAGGCGCGCACAAUUGCACAGGAGACCUGUUCAGUGUUGGAAGAGAACAGGAAGAAAGCACAGAGCAGAGUUUCCACAUCUGUGUGCAGAAAGAAAGCUGAUAACAGCUCUUAGGUGCCUCAGAGGGCGCAGGGAAGCUCAGGUGUUAAGCACCUGCUCUUGGGCAAAGAGCUGCAUGGCCUCCAUGCAGGUCUCUGGGUGAACUCUGUAGCAAGCUGGGAUCAGCUCAGUAGCUGGAUGAUGGCACUGUGUGGGCUGUGUCUCCUCUGAAAGCAGGGCAAGAGGACCGAGUGGUGAGCAGCACUGGGCUGCUUUGGCAGAGAAUGCUAUGAGGCUGAGCCUGAGCUCUGCUAACCACUUCCUUCAGCUCCAAGUGCCUAGCCUACUUCAGUUCCCAGUGAAUUCUCAGCUUUAUUACCACCACCUUUGUGGGGAGGGGCUCCUCACACACCACAUAGGCUGGUCAGACAAAUAAAGGGGGUAACAAAUUUCACAAUUUGCACACUAAUUUUUAUGGGUGGCAGCAGCAGUGACAGAGUACUGCAGUUACUUUCUCCGGGCAGUCAGCAGACCUAAAAGGCCGUCUGUUUUCUUUCCUGACUACAAUCAUUGUAAGCCUGGAGGUGCUGGAGGCACACUGCAGCACAGAUACUGACGGCGAGGAGCUGGCUGUGCAAACAGCUUCAUAACGUGCUGAGGAGAGGGAAGCAGGGCGGGAAACUGAACUUCUGUUCUAACUCAGACACCAGCUUCACUUUGGUUUUAUUUCUAGCUCCUAAACGUACUGAAAUAUAACUAUCCUAAAAGUUCAGCAGCUGGCCUCAUGCUGAGUAUUUAUACCUUCAACUUUGUAUGUGAGAUGUAAAAAAAAAAAAAAGACUCUCAGAAUGACUGAUAUAUGUCCAUGAAGUGGUGUCUUAAUGACAACAGUAUGAGAGAUAAUGGCUUUAAGUUGUGCCAGGGGAGCUUCAGGUGGGAUAUUAGGAGAAAUUUCUUCUCAGGAAGAGUGGUGAUGCAUUGGCAUGGGCUGCUCAGGGAGGUGGAGGGUUCACUGACCUGGGGGGUGUUCAAGAAAUGUGGAGAUGUGGCAGUGAGGGAUGUGGUCAGUGAUAUGGAGGUGAUGGGCUGACAGCUGCACUAGGUGAUGGUAGUGGUCUUUUACUACUGUAAUAACUCUAUGAUCCAUCUGAACGCAUCUGUUCUGCUUCAUCUCCUUAUUGAUGUUUUUAUAUGCAUUGCAUGCUUCUUGUCAUUUUAAAGUGAUCUGUGAAGUCUGAUCAGAGCAAUCUUCUUGUUUUUAAGGGCAGAGGAAGCCAGAAGAAAUCUGUCUUUGUGCAUCUGACUCAUCUGUGGAGAAAAAGGGAAAGACUGGAAGAAGUAACAGUGAGAGGAAGAAAAACGAUGCUUAAGUUCCUAAAGAAGCAGCUUUUGUCCCAAUCCUCCCAUGCCACAGAUCACUACCAGGAAAAGAAGAGCAACUCUCUUCAUGGCGAGAGGAACUGACUGCGAUCCUUCAGCAAAAUGACCUGAAAAAGUGGAAGUAGUAAGCACCUGGCUGCUCUCAAUUUAAAGGCUUGGUGCACAAAGAAGCCUCUUUCCAGCUACACGUGGGAUGGAUGUAAUUUUUUAAAAAUAUUUAUUUAAAUAAUAAAUCACCCUUCAGUAGGCAUGUACCCAUAAUUUAUAGCCUGAGGAAGUGCCGAAUAAGCUGUGAACUCCCAUGAAGGUAACAAGACAAAUCUUGUAAAUGCAGUUAUAUACAGAACGAUAGUUGUAUAACUGAGAAGCACAUUCCUAUCCAGAAUGAACAUGUCAUAUUUGAUUUUUAGCAGGUCUUUUCCAUUCUCCAGCUGCUUUAUAGCUAUCUUCAAGACAGAACUUGUAAUGCCAUUUUAAAGUAAAAAAGAUAAAACUUCCAAAACAA